AUACGUAGGUGGCAAGCGUUAUCCGGAAUUAUUGGGCGUAAAGAGUGAGCAGGCGGUUAAUUAAGUCUGAGGUUAAAGCUUGGGGCGAAAACCCAUAAAGCCUUGGAAACUGAUUGACUAGAGUACGGGAGAAGUGAAGGGAACUCCAUGUGUAGCGGUGAAAUGCGUAGAUAUAUGGAAGAACACCAGUGGCGAAGGCGCUUCACUAGCCCGAAACUGACGCUCAGUCACGAAAGCGUGGGUAGCAAAUAGGACUAGAUACCCUAGUAGUCCACGCUGUAAACGAUGACAACUAAAUAUUGCCGCGAGGCAGUGUUGAAGCUAACGCAUUAAGUUGUCCGCCUGGGGAGUACGGUCGCAAGACUGAAACUCAAAGGAAUUGACGGGG
Molecule: ribosomal RNA, 388 nt
Filed under: uncultured bacterium
Lineage: Bacteria
Description: partial 16S ribosomal RNA
Rfam family: Bacterial small subunit ribosomal RNA
Source: RNAcentral